GAAUGCCCGAGGGUUCCGUCGCGAUGCUGAUCAUCGACGGGUUAGGCGGGCCUAAGCCGAGGCCGGAAGGCGUAGGCGAUGGACAACGGGUACAUAUUCCCGUCCCACGGCCACACGUUUGAGCGAUGGGGGGACACAGGGAGCUAGGUCCGGGGGUCAGUUGCGACCCUCCAAGCUGGUAGGGAGUCCUGGUAGGCAAAUCCGCCGGGG
RNAcentral lists this ribosomal RNA (210 nucleotides) under Chloropicon mariensis. RNAcentral describes it as "partial Bacterial large subunit ribosomal RNA". It matches the Rfam family "Bacterial large subunit ribosomal RNA", at positions 1339 to 1550 of the family's 2925-position model. The record is from RNAcentral. Lineage: Eukaryota; Viridiplantae; Chlorophyta; Chloropicophyceae; Chloropicales; Chloropicaceae.